Molecule: ribosomal RNA, 441 nt
Filed under: uncultured bacterium
Lineage: Bacteria
Description: partial 16S ribosomal RNA
Rfam family: Bacterial small subunit ribosomal RNA
Source: RNAcentral
CCUACGGGAGGCAGCAGUGGGGAAUAUUGCACAAUGGGGGAAACCCUGAUGCAGCAACGCCGCGUGAGUGAAGAAGUAUUUAGGUAUGUAAAGCUCUAUCAGCAAGGGAGAAAAAAGACGGUACCUGACUAAGAAGCCCCGACUAACUACGUGCCAGCAGCCGCGGUAAUACGUAGGGGGCAAGCGUUAUCCGGAUUUACUGGGGGUAAAGGGAGCGUAGACGGCUGUGCAAGUCUGAAGUGAAAGCCCGUGGCUCAACCGCGGAACUGCUGUGGAAACUGUAUGGCUUGAGUACUGUAGAGGUAGGCGGAAUUCCUAGUGUAGCGGUGAAAUGCUUAGAUAUUAGGAGGAACACCAGUGGCGAAGGCGGCCUGCUGGACAGACACUGACGUUGAGGCUCGAAAGCGUGGGGAGCAAACAGGAUUAGAUACCCGAGUAGUC